This is an RNA transcript of Corylus avellana, 895 nucleotides long. It is a transcript of the gene named protein GL2-INTERACTING REPRESSOR 1 pseudogene, with no coding region annotated. Lineage: Eukaryota; Viridiplantae; Streptophyta; Magnoliopsida; Fagales; Betulaceae. The record is from RefSeq and is a predicted model, not a curated record.
UCCAUUCCUACCCAUAAUUAAAAGAGUUGAAAGAUCUCUUCUCUCUCUCUCUCUCUCUCUCAAGUUCACUAUUUAAUGGUAUUAGAAGUACUCCAACAUCAACGAGAAUGCCAAACCUUCGUCGACGGUGGGAUAGGUAUAUGUUCUCAGAGUCCUUAGCAAAUCUUCCUACUGUUGCCCCGCCGACUCUCUGUUUCUCCAUUUGAACGGCAGUUUAAUUUCCUUCAACUUAUAUACAAGACAGGUUAAAAUAUUACGCAAAUUUAAGGUUGUGUUUUUUUCAAACAUGAGCCGGAGGGAGGAUAGUCCAAAACUGGGAUUGGAGCUCAACUUGUCACCACCAAGGGUAAACACACCGGUUGAGUCGCCAAAUGUUUCGACUUCUUCUUCUUCAUCGGAUAUGUCGGUUGAGGGCUCAUGCGUUUCAUCGGAGCCUGAGGAGUCGACAGUGUACUCCCCCAGAAACCACCUGGAAGUCCAAUCGAUGAUGCUCGUAGGUUGUCCUCGAUGCCUCAUGUACGUCAUGUUAUCCCACGUAGAUCCAAAAUGCCCGAAAUGCAAGAGCACCGUCCUGCUGGAUUUCCUCAAAGAAGAAAACACAAACACCAACAAGACAAGGAACUGAUCGAGGACUACUCUUUGUUCUUCAUGGAGGAUUGAGGAACUGCUUAAUUAAUUCUCGAUGCUAGCUUGCUUGAUCAUUUGGCCUUUGCCUAGCCUCUUUUCUCUCUCUCUCUCUCUCUCUCUCUCUCUAAUGUUGUUGUUCUUUUGGGAAUUUUGGUGGCCUUUCAGACGAAGGAAAUAAACAGAAGAAAUGAUUUUGGGUUCGCACAACUUUGUAGGAUUAAUUAAUAUACGUUUUCAUAUAUAAAACUAGAUUGUGAAUUUUCAUUUU